Molecule: ribosomal RNA, 144 nt
Filed under: Tieghemostelium lacteum
Lineage: Eukaryota; Evosea; Eumycetozoa; Dictyosteliales; Raperosteliaceae
Description: Dictyostelium lacteum 5.8S ribosomal RNA
Rfam family: 5.8S ribosomal RNA
About the family: 5.8S ribosomal RNA (5.8S rRNA) is a component of the large subunit of the eukaryotic ribosome. It is transcribed by RNA polymerase I as part of the 45S precursor that also contains 18S and 28S rRNA.
Source: Rfam by way of RNAcentral
AACUAUAAACUGUGAAUAUCUUGACUCUCGGAUUGAUGAAGAACGUAGAAAACUGCGAUAAUUCACUUGAAUUGCAGACUACUGUGAUUGCCGAAAUGUUGAACACACAUGAUAAGGUUGGGGCUUACGCUUUAUGUGAUUUUA